UGUCGUGAAGAGAUGAACAGGAUGCCAGGAA
This 31-nucleotide non-coding RNA is filed under the name Homo sapiens (human). The record is from RNAcentral. Lineage: Eukaryota; Metazoa; Chordata; Mammalia; Primates; Hominidae.